CUGUCUGUGCAGUUCUGUGUGUCUGUGUCUCACUGUCUCUGCAGUUCUGUGCGUGUAUGUGUCUCACUGUCUGUGCAGUUCUGUUUGUCUGCAUGUCUGUGUGUCUGUGUCUCACUGUCUGUGCAGUUGUGUGUGUGUGUGUGUGUCUGUCUCAUUGUGCAGUUCUUUCUGUGUGUGUGUGUGUGUGUGUGUGUCUGUCUCACUGUGCAGUUUUGUAUGUGUGUGUGUCUGUGUCACUGCCAGUUGUGUAGGUGCCAGGUGAGACAUCCCAAUAC
Long non-coding RNA from Anguilla rostrata (American eel), 275 nucleotides. RefSeq lists it as uncharacterized. The transcript is spliced from 2 exons. NCBI's taxonomy places the organism in Eukaryota, Metazoa, Chordata, Actinopteri, Anguilliformes, Anguillidae. The record is from RefSeq and is a predicted model, not a curated record.